CCUACGGGCGGCAGCAGUGAGGAAUAUUGGUCAAUGGACGAAAGUCUGAACCAGCCAUGCCGCGUGCAGGAUGACGGCUCUAUGAGUUGUAAACUGCUUUUGUAUUAGGGUAAACACCCCUACGUGUAGGGGCUUGAGAGUAUAAUACGAAUAAGGAUCGGCUAACUCCGUGCCAGCAGCCGCGGUAAUACAUAGGAUGCAAGCGUUAUCCGGAUUUACUGGGCGUAAAACGAGCGCAGGCGGGUUAACAAGUUUGGUAUAAAAGGAUUUUGCUUAACGAAAGUUUGUAUCAAAAACUGUUAAUCUAGAGUGAAGUAGAGAGUUCUGGAAUGCCAGGUGGAGCGGUGGAAUGCGUAGAUAUAUGGAAGAACACCAGUGGCGAAGGCGAGAACUUAGGCUAUCACUGACGCUUAGGCUCGAAAGUGUGGGGAGCAAAUAGGAUUAGAUACCCCAGUAGUC
This 459-nucleotide ribosomal RNA is filed under the name uncultured bacterium. RNAcentral's name for it is "partial 16S ribosomal RNA". It matches the Rfam family "Bacterial small subunit ribosomal RNA", at positions 338 to 795 of the family's 1533-position model. The record is from RNAcentral.